Long non-coding RNA from Brienomyrus brachyistius, 506 nucleotides. RefSeq lists it as uncharacterized. The transcript is spliced from 3 exons. The record is from RefSeq and is a predicted model, not a curated record. NCBI's taxonomy places the organism in Eukaryota, Metazoa, Chordata, Actinopteri, Osteoglossiformes, Mormyridae.
ACUGACAAGGUACACCUAAUAAUGGGGCCAGUGAGUUUAUAUGCUUCAGUUUCUUGUCUGAUGGGUGUGCCACCUGGAGGGCACAAAGAGAUAUUACAGAAACAAAAAUCCCAUUCUGUUUUUGGGUCGCAAACGGAAAGGGUUUAGAAAUUCAAGUUACAGUCCUGAGACUGACGAUGGCAGCCCACUUGUUUGCAGGGUUCAGUCCUCUGUGGGCUGACUGCUGACUUCACUUCUGCACGAAGAACCAUUUCAGAAAUGUGCUGCUUCCCAAAUUCAGCACCAGCUCGUGGAUCCAAUGAAUUGCAGUACAGUGGUCAUGUUCGCUGCUGAUUUUGAGAGUCUCUUCCUGCACCCCCGCUUCCUCCUACAGACAAAAGCUAAAACAGGUUGUCCCCCGGGCACGCUCGCUCGUCACUGUCACGCUGCCACAACUACAUCCCCCGAAACGGGCGCAGCGAGGAGAAUCAAAGGGGAGCUAAAUAAAAUCUAAAUUCAUCAUUGUG